UCCGGUGACCAUAGCGAGGGGGUCCCACCCGUUCCCAUCCCGAACACGGAAGUUAAGCCCCUCAGCGCCGAUGGUACUGCUACGGUGGGAGAGUAGGUCGUUGCCAGAU
This 109-nucleotide ribosomal RNA is filed under the name Spirochaetales bacterium. The record is from RNAcentral. Lineage: Bacteria; Pseudomonadati; Spirochaetota; Spirochaetia; Spirochaetales.